CGCUCCCUCAUCACAGGCGGGAUCCCCAGCAAGGCGGAAAACAUUCACGUUCUGCCCUGCGAACCCUGCCCUGAAAAACAUUCAGCUUUCAGAGCAAUUAUGAAGUUACACCAUUUCUGCAAGAAGGAGAACCGAAGUGGAUGCUGAAAGACAAGGGUCAGAGGCAGGACCCAGGCUGGGCUCGAGCCCGGUUUGCUCUCUGUUCUCUCCAAGCAGUUACUGAGAAACAUCCUUGUAGUAAGUUUGUAAAUAAAUCAGUGUCAACGCACCA
Molecule: long non-coding RNA, 271 nt
Organism: Tyto alba (common barn owl)
Lineage: Eukaryota; Metazoa; Chordata; Aves; Strigiformes; Tytonidae
Exons: 2
Source: RefSeq, a predicted model, not a curated record